RNAcentral lists this long non-coding RNA (491 nucleotides) under Brassica napus (rape). RNAcentral describes it as "long non-coding RNA (BNAP_LNC009125)". Lineage: Eukaryota; Viridiplantae; Streptophyta; Magnoliopsida; Brassicales; Brassicaceae. The record is from RNAcentral.
UCUUGCGAUCGCUGCCUCGACGAUCUUCUUUUUCUUUUCUAGAUCUUUCUCAUCGUCAUAUGUUUCAUCUUCAAUCUUCGUCUUCUCGAUCAGAACAUCUUUCAAACCGGAGACGCUAAGGAAAGCGUACAUCUGUCUCUUUCAUAGCGAGAAAUCACCAUCGCCAUCGAACUUUUCUAUAUCGGACUUAGUCCCUGCCAUCGCCGAUCGAUCUUGAAAGAUUCACCUCCUUCGCCGAUUCGCUAAGCUCGCGAACAUGGCUCUGAUACCACUUCUGUUAGGAUUCGAGCUUGAUUUCAACUUAACGACUUCGAUCAAUGACACAAGCAAGAAACGAUAAAAGAAGAGAAAGAGAACGUAUACUCGUCGGGGCUGGACGGUACCAGCAACUGCACUAUAGAGAUCUUAGCUCAAACUGAGCUUUCGAGAUACAACAGUGGCGAUCUACUUCUUUUGCCUUUCUCUCUCUAUCUUAUCUCUAUCUCUCUCUC